UGCCAGCAGCCGCGGUAAUACGAAGGGGGCAAGCGUUACUCGGAAUUAUUGGGCGUAAAGAGUGCGUAGGUGGUUUAAUUAGUUAGAAGUGAAAUCCUCUGGCUCAACCAGAGAACUGCUUUUAAUACUAUUAGACUUGAGUUUUAGAGGGGAUGGAGGAAUUCCUAAUGUAGGGGUGAAAUCCGUAGAUAUUAGGAGGAACAUCGAAAGCGAAAGCAUCCAUCUAGCUAAAUACUGACACUGUUGCACGAAAGCGUGGGGAGCAAACAGGAUUAGAUA
RNAcentral lists this ribosomal RNA (279 nucleotides) under uncultured bacterium. RNAcentral describes it as "partial 16S ribosomal RNA". It matches the Rfam family "Bacterial small subunit ribosomal RNA", at positions 506 to 784 of the family's 1533-position model. The record is from RNAcentral.